UAAUACGGGGGGUGCAAGCGUUGUCCGGAUUCACUGGGCGUAAAGCGCGCGUAGGCGGUUCUGUAAGUCAUCUAUGAAAUCCCGGGGCUCAACUCCGGGGCUGCAGGUGAUACUGCAGAGCUAGAGCUCAGUAGAGGCAAGUGGAAUUCCCGGUGUAGCGGUGGAAUGCGUAGAUAUCGGGAAGAACACCAGUGGCGAAGGCGGCUUGCUGGGCCGAUGCUGACGCUGAGGCGCGAAAGCGUGGGGAGCAAACAGGAUUAGAUACCCUGGUAGUCCACGCCGUAAACGAUGGGUACUAGGCGUCGGGGGGAGCGACCCCUUCGGUGCCGUCGCUAACGCACUAAGUACCCCGCCUGGGGAGUACGGCCGCAAGGCUG
This 377-nucleotide ribosomal RNA is filed under the name uncultured Gemmatimonadota bacterium. Its description in RNAcentral is "bacterial SSU rRNA". It matches the Rfam family "Bacterial small subunit ribosomal RNA", at positions 521 to 896 of the family's 1533-position model. The record is from RNAcentral. Lineage: Bacteria; Pseudomonadati; Gemmatimonadota.